RNAcentral lists this ribosomal RNA (437 nucleotides) under uncultured bacterium. RNAcentral's name for it is "partial 16S ribosomal RNA". It matches the Rfam family "Bacterial small subunit ribosomal RNA", at positions 341 to 792 of the family's 1533-position model. The record is from RNAcentral.
ACGGAAGGCAGCAGUGGGGAAUAUUGGGCAAUGGGCGCAAGCCUGACCCAGCAACGCCGCGUGAGGGAAGAAGGUUUUCGGAUUGUAAACCUCUGUCCUCAAGGACGAAGGAAGUGACGGUACUUGAGGAGGAAGCCCCGGCUAACUACGUGCCAGCAGCCGCGGUAAUACGUAGGGGGCGAGCGUUGUCCGGAAUGACUGGGCGUAAAGGGCGUGUAGGCGGCCGAUUAGGUGUGGAGUGAAAGUCCUGCUUUCAAGGUGGGAAUUGCUUUGCAGACUGGUUGGCUUGAGUGCGGAAGAGGUAAGUGGAAUUCCCAGUGUAGCGGUGAAAUGCGUAGAGAUUGGGAGGAACACCAGUGGCGAAGGCGACUUACUGGGCCGUAACUGACGCUGAGGCGCGAAAGCGUGGGGAGCAAACAGGAUUAGAUACCCUGGUA